GCCUCUAUACCUCAGUGGUAGUGCACUGGUCUCGUAAACCAGGAUCGUGAGUUCCUCACUGGUGGUA
Molecule: transfer RNA, 67 nt
Filed under: Ciona intestinalis (vase tunicate)
Lineage: Eukaryota; Metazoa; Chordata; Ascidiacea; Phlebobranchia; Cionidae
Rfam family: tRNA
About the family: Transfer RNA (tRNA) molecules are approximately 80 nucleotides in length.
Source: Rfam by way of RNAcentral